GUCUACGGCCAUGCUACCCUGAACAAGCCUAAUCCAGUCUGAUCUCGGAAACUUAGCAGGGUUCGGCCUGGUAAGUACUUGGAUGGGAGACCACCUAGGAAGUCCAGGUGCUGUAGGCA
This 119-nucleotide ribosomal RNA is filed under the name Pteropus alecto (black flying fox). Lineage: Eukaryota; Metazoa; Chordata; Mammalia; Chiroptera; Pteropodidae. The record is from RNAcentral.